ACUGUAAUAAUCAUCAUGGCUUUGGUGUGGCUGCAAGCAGCAGUUGUUGACGGGUGCAUUCAAAACGAUGCAAGGUGUUCCUCUUACGAUUUCCCGUGUUGCUCGAAUUCGGUAUGCGUAUAUGUUCUUCUUGAGGGUAAUAGAUACAAGGACAAGGGGGCAAUCUGCUCGAAAGGGCCUGGAGGUGUCCAGAAUUGUCUACAGCGUGCUUACUAAUGUAAAAGGAGAUUAUCAAUCAUGGUCUCGAAUUGACGAGGACUACAAAGUGUUUCAGGGAUACAAGCUGUAACGACAACGCUUAAAUGCCGAGUGGAUUGUCUACAAAAUUCUGAAACUAUAAAUAUUGUUCUACUUCUAAUUGAUCAGUAAACUGAAAUUUACUUUCUGUCUUUGCUUUGCUUAUUGUAUCAACCAGUGUCCAUGGUAAGUAAAAUAAGUGAGUCAUGUGUGUGGGUGUUUAAAAAGAAUUAAGUUGUGAAGCUUUCGGAUAGAUAAAAACAAUAAUUCUAAACAAAGAUUUACAAUUUUUCACAAGUCUAAUAUUUAAAACCUAGUAUAUAAGGAAAACAACCAGCCUGUGGCAUAUGCCUAUUGUUCCGGACUCAUUUUUUUUAUAACCUUUUAGUUUACUGUAAAAUUAUAACAGACUAUACUUUCUUUUAAGCGAAUUUCAUGUUAAGUGUAAAAGUCAGUUUUCAUUUAAUUACACUCAAUUCCUUUAUGAUGGCAUAGUAAUUAUUAAUAUCUAAUUUUAGCGACAGACAUCACCAGCUAAUAAUGUUUGUAGACGCUGCAGACUCUUAACAACAUUAAAGUUCAAUGUGUAAGUCACACAUAAUUACAGAGAAACAAUUAUUUCUGGUCUCUCAGAAGAAUUCUCCCGCUUUCUCUUUCUCUCACACACACACACACUGACGUACACAUGUAUGAACUAACCCAAGUGCACUAAACCAACCGUUGUAACUGUCGAACUUCAUGACCAGUAAGAUACCUACGCUUAAUGAUGAUGCGGUACAUUAACUUUAUUUCCUAGAGUAGAAUUGGGAAGAACUUAGUCUGGUUGCACCUUGGUCAUGACUGAAGUGAAAUGAUUUUUCUCUACUUGCAUGAUGCUUAACUAGUACUUUUGCAUAGCACACACACGUACACACAAACACAUCGUUUUCAUAUAUAAAUAUAUUUGUAUAAAUUGAAUAUCAGUCAGGUCAAUUUAAGGGGACACACUGGGAGUUGACAAGACACAAACGGGUACAAGACGGUACAGACAGGUAAACUUCUCGUCGGUUGCCAGCUUCCCGUGCUCCGAUGGCUGGGACGGACUGACCUUCUUGAAAUCAUCUUCUUAUGUAAAAGACUAUUAUCGAUCUGUACAUCAUCUACACAAUAAAAUAGAAUGUGGAGGUCACUAAAGACUAAAUGAGGGUUACAAAACAAGACGUUUAACAGAAAAUUGUAAGAGGAUAUAUGUUUCCAUAAUUAGUUUUAUUCUAUCGAGAAUUUUUCAAUUCAUUUAAGUAUAAAGUUUCAUGAUAUUAAUGACUGGUCUCGCUGUUUUAUCUUAAAUUGCAUCUAAGAUUUGUUCAAAAUAAUAAAAUUUCAGUGUAUGAAAGCAAAUUAAUAAAAUUAAAUUAAAUUUUUUUCUUGUUCUCUCUCAUGUAUAUAACUAGCACUAGAAUUGUCUGUGUUAAUAACGUCAAGUCAACACUUACGGAGACAUCAAGGUAGUGUGCAAUACUUUCGUCAAUCUAAUCAGUGAAUUGUUCAUCUUCAGUCGAUAUGUCAUCAAUUAUCUGUAAGCUUUUUUAUGUUGUUCUCUUUCAUUAAAUGAGAUAACGAAUCAAAGCUUUCGAUUUUGCACAGAUAUAUUUUUUAUUCUUCUAAAAAUAUACUUAAUUUGUAACCGGAUAAGAACAGUCGUUUUUUAAUAGCUUUAAUAUCAGCUCUAUUGAAUUAUUAGAUUAAACAGUCAGAUAAACGUUUUGCCUCUAAAUCACUCACAGUAUCUGUGACAAAAAUUAAAAAAAACAUAAUUCCAAACUGUUUCUCCAAAAAGUCAAUCUUUUUCUUUGUCUUCGCUUAGACUAAAAUAUUCAGCCCUUCUCCAAAAGAACACAUUAUCUGUUGUGAUGGCCAUGAAACUAAGAACAACUGUAAUAAUCAUCAUGGCUUUGGUGUGGCUGCAAGCAGCAGUUGUUGACGGGUGCACUCCAAACGAUGAUAAGUGUGGCGCAUGGGUACCACCAUGUUGCAGUAAUUCGUUGUGCGUGAGAGUUCCUGAUCAGGGUGAUAGAUGCAAAGACAGAGGGGACAUCUGCCAGACAUUGCCUGGAGGUGCCACGACUUGUCUAAGGCGUGUAUGGUAACGCAAAAGGAGAUUAUCAAUCAGUAAGCUGAAAGUUAAUCCACCUUUACAUUUGUUUUGAUUGUUUUCAUCAACGCUGGAUCGCAUGAACCCGAUUUGAUAUAUUUUAUAGAAAGAGAAUGGACUGUAAAAAUUCACAUGUAUAAGCAUAUGUAGACGUUUGCCUUUUCAAAAGUUAUUGAUACUAAAUAAUAUGUUGUAAAAGG
Molecule: long non-coding RNA, 2568 nt
Filed under: Pomacea canaliculata
Lineage: Eukaryota; Metazoa; Mollusca; Gastropoda; Architaenioglossa; Ampullariidae
Description: uncharacterized LOC112567825, transcript variant X2
Source: RNAcentral